Molecule: non-coding RNA, 21 nt
Filed under: Caenorhabditis elegans
Lineage: Eukaryota; Metazoa; Nematoda; Chromadorea; Rhabditida; Rhabditidae
Source: RNAcentral
UUGAAAUUAAAGCAUUGUCUC